AAAAAAAGGAAGAUGUACUUCGUAUAUAUAAUGAUUUAAAUGCAUAUAUAAACGAUAAUAUAAAAGAUUUAGGAGAAGAAAACGGAGAAUAUGAUGCAAACGAAUAUUCAAAAAAAAUUGAUACAGCAUUGGAAAAAGCCAAGAGUGCAAUUGAUGAAGUCAAAACGUUGUCAAAUAAAUUUAAAAAUUUUGGAAACAUGUCUGACAGCACACAUAAUUAUAAGAGUUUAUAUAAUAUCGAUUACGCAAAUAUUUCAGAUACUAAACUAAAUGAAGCAUUUUUAUCGGAUAAGAAAUUAUUUGAAAAAAUUACAUCGGAAAAACUUACUGAAAAGAUAAUCGAAAAAGUAAAUAAUAUUAUAACGUAUGCUAAAAAAGCAAAAGGCAAUGAAAAUGAAGCUAUAAAAAAAAAAGAAACUGCAAUUAACUACAUUAACAAGAGUGGGGUCGUAGAUUUACUUGAAGAUAUACAAGUUGUAAAAAAUGCAGAAUAUGAAAUUACUGAUUAUGCAAAUGAAGCCAAAGAUAUAUAUAAAAAAGCCAAUGAAGCAUAUCAAUCAGUUUUAGCUAUAGAUAAAAAUGUUGCUGAUAUAUCUAAAAAUUCUACAUUAGCAUCAAAAAUCGUAAAACAAUUUAUUGAUGCAACUGAAAAUGCAAGGAGAAUUUUUAAUUAUACGAUAAAAGCUGAAAAUAAUAUAAAGGAAGCUAUUAACGAAAUUAAAGAAGUAAUACAAAUUAUAAUAGCUGCAAAGGAAGCAGUAACUGAAGCAAAUAACGCCAAGAAUAUAUCUGAAACAGCAAAAAAAACUUCCAUUUUAAAAGAUGCGACCAACGCAGCAGCAAUAACUACAAUAAAGGUACAUAAAGCAAAUGUAGCAUUAGAAACAACAGAAAAACAUGUUAAACAAUUAGAUUUAUUGUUAGUAAAAAAAAAAGGAAACGGAGAAACACGUGAAAAAUAUACUAAAAAAUAUAUAUUAAUCGCUAAAGAUGCCGCUGAUAAUGCAAAAAAAGCAUCUGAAGAGGCUAAAAUAGCAGUUAAUAAAUUAAAAAUAGAAAUAAUUAAAACUGUUACUAACAAAAUAGUUAUAGCAGCACAAAAUGCUACAAAAUCAGCUAAUGCGGCAAAAAAAGCUGACACUAUAGAAGAGGCAGAAAAAGAAGCUACUAAAACUAAUCAACAUGAAAAUGAUGCUAUAAAAGCAUUAAAAGAAGUUAAAGAUGUAGGUAAAAAUUUUAAAGAUGCUGAAACAUAUAUUAAGAUAUCUGAAGACGCAGUUACUGAAGCAAAAUUAGCAAAUACUGAAGCAAAUGCUGCAGUUAACAAAAUUAAAAUUAUAAACAUAGCAAAGAAUUAUGUAAAAAAAGCAGAUGAAGCAGCUAAUAAAGCUGAAAAUAUUGCUAAUGAGGCAAAAAAAGCUGUUACUGUAAAAGAUGUGAUAGAUGCCACUAUUAAAUGUAAAGCAUAUAUACAAGAUGCUGAAAAAGCGUUACAAGAUGCUGAAGAUGUUAGUAAAAAUAUAAUAGAUGUUAUGGAUUAUAUAAAUGACGGAAAAGAAGCAGUUGGUAAAGCAAAAAAUGCAUUGUCCAACAUGAAAAAAACAAUUGAUACAAUAGUAGCAGUAAAAAACACUGAAUCUAGUACUUUAAAAGUACAAAUUGCAGCACAAAAAGCAGAGGACGCAGCUAAUACAGCAAAAAGUGCAAAAACGUUAGAAGAAGCGGUAAAUGCUGCUUAUUUAGCUAAAAAGUAUGAAACAGAAGCUAAUACAGCAUUACACGAAGCGAUAAAGCACAGUUUUAAUGUAGAUAAAGCGAAAGUAUAUAUUAAAACAGCUG
RNAcentral lists this long non-coding RNA (1839 nucleotides) under Piliocolobus tephrosceles (Ugandan red Colobus). Its description in RNAcentral is "lncRNA (ENSPTEG00000003057.1)". The record is from RNAcentral. Lineage: Eukaryota; Metazoa; Chordata; Mammalia; Primates; Cercopithecidae.